Molecule: ribosomal RNA, 142 nt
Filed under: uncultured bacterium
Lineage: Bacteria
Description: partial 16S ribosomal RNA
Rfam family: Bacterial small subunit ribosomal RNA
Source: RNAcentral
UGGGGAAUAUUGCACAAUGGGCGCAAGCCUGAUGCAGCGACGCCGCGUGAGGGAUGACGGCCUUCGGGUUGUAAACCUCUUUCACCCAUGACGAAGCGCAAGUGACGGUACCGGACUAAGAAGCACCGGCUAACUACGUGCC